UUGAAAGUCCUCCAGCCCUGCCAG
This 24-nucleotide unclassified non-coding RNA is filed under the name Mus musculus (house mouse). Its description in RNAcentral is "oocyte_clustered_small_RNA9266". Lineage: Eukaryota; Metazoa; Chordata; Mammalia; Rodentia; Muridae. The record is from RNAcentral.